Molecule: non-coding RNA, 745 nt
Organism: Cyanistes caeruleus (blue tit)
Lineage: Eukaryota; Metazoa; Chordata; Aves; Passeriformes; Paridae
Source: RefSeq, a predicted model, not a curated record
GCGGGGGAGGCGCGGCAGGAGAUGGGAUGGCUCCUGCGGGCCUGCCUAGGUGGUUCAGGUCUUUGGAAAACUGAUGGACGGGCGCCGUUGUGCGCCCGCCGGAGUCGUUAAACCCCAGUCACGGCGGGUUGGGCCGGGUGUAAGCGGUGUUGGGAAACCUCCGGACCGAAGCUGGCGGCGGGAUGUGGGGAGGGAUGGAGGUCAGGCAGGCGCCUUCUAGCCGGUGCUGCUGCAUUUUUGUUUUUCUCUGAUUUCACAUCAGUGAUCCCGUCCACUCGUUUCUUGUCAGAAUCACAGAACAAUUAGGUUGGAAAAGACCUCUGAGAUCCUCGAGUGUCAGAUCUUUGAGUGCAAACGCCAUCGUGUCUAGACCAUGGCACUGAGGGCCACGUCCAGUCCAGGGACGGCGAUUCCACCACCUCCCUGGGCAGACUGUUCCAAUAUCUAAUCUCUGAAAUAAUUACACCUAAUGUCCAACCUAAACUUCCCCUGGCACAGCUUGAGGCCACGUCCUCUUGUCCUUUUGUCAGAGAAAAGACCGAUCCCCACCUGGCUACACUCUCAGUGAACAUCAGAAUUGGAGGCACAAAUAUGUGAGAAGCUUGUCAGCGAUCAAGUUAAUUGUUACAGUGCCUGCUGUGCAUACAUAGAGCUCAUCAUACACUUUCUUUCUCCCUGAAUUUGCAUAACUUUUAAAAUUAUUACUAUAAUAAGCAUUCACAUUAAAAGAAUGGUAGAAAAUAAA